Oreochromis aureus is the source of this 1340-nucleotide long non-coding RNA. NCBI's taxonomy places the organism in Eukaryota, Metazoa, Chordata, Actinopteri, Cichliformes, Cichlidae. The record is from Ensembl.
UGUAGUUAAAGUUAAUGUGGCCAUGAGGAAGCUGUGUGCUUUAAAAAUAAUAAAUUGGGCUGUGACAUUUAGCUAAGUCACAACAAUUACCCCAUCACUGACGCCUCAUUUAGACAUUUUUUUAAUAUAUUUCAUAUUUGCUUUCUUGUCACGACUUGUUUGAAAUAUUGUUUGUGCGUUAAAGUUAAAGCUAGCAGCGGGUCAUCUUAGAUUUGAAUAAAAAGUAAUCGGUGGGAAUAAAUUAAUCAGGGACUGCUUAAUUUAUUGUUAAAAUGUGUGUUUAACACAAAGUUUGGGGCAUAUUAUGGUUUCAGGAGGGGGGUUGUGCACUGCUAAGCUAACGGUUAACUUUGUAAAUAGCCAAUUGCCAGAGGAGCUCGUCUGGUUUCACUGAACACUCGGCAAGAAAGCCAAAAUAUACAUUUGCCAAAGUAUAUAAAGAAAAUAGAAACAUAGCCCACAUUAGCAGUUAUUGUUAGUUGGUUGGCUUUUGUAUGGACAGACGAGAAAUGUUGGUAUUACGUCACACUAAGUCCUACUAGAUGCUAAAAAUCAGCCGGGGAGCCAGUGGUUGGUUCGCAGAGCUUUUGACCACCAGACACCAUCAGUGGGGCGGCCUGCUGAAGAGGCUAAGUGACCAAAAACACCAACAGAGAUUUGCCCUACUCAGUGUACCGCCCCAAGGUAAUGCUACAAACUACCUUGGCCACUCUUCUUUGUUCUUUGUAUGGGAAUAAAUUAGCACAGUGGAUGGCAUUAUUUCAAGUUAAAUGCACCAGCUGUUGAAGGUGUUACUGCGAAGUCAUACUUCAGUUUUCAGGGUGAGAUUUACAACAACAUAUGUUAUGUUAUCAAGAGAGACCCAGGUUAUUGCACAACACGUCACCAUAGUUGCCACUGCAGUUUAAGUAAAAAUGGAAGAAUUCAAAGUUAAGGCACUAAAACUGCUGCCAGAAAUGAAAGACCGUUCACAGAUAUCAAACCAAAGUCUAUGUUUCUGUGAUUUUUGUUUUAAUGUUUUUUAAAGAACUGGCUCCUCAUGCUGUUUUAGAAUAUGUGGCUUCAUUUUAGGUCAAAUUUCCCUUUAUUCAAAUAUUCCAGACUGAUUAAUGUGAAAAGGUUUAAGUAUGACACCUUCACACAAAUGCAUGAUUAUAUAUUGACUAUUCCCUUUCCUGUCCAGUUUGAGCUAUCAUUUAAAGUAGUUACCAUUCAUAACAGAGGGUCAGCCGUAUAACAUAUGUUAUAUCUGUUUGUACAAAUAUCUGUUCAGACAGUCUUGUGUAAGAAUUAAACAUAUUACAAUGCCAGAUAUAAUACACGGCCAAUUAUUGCUGUUU